RNAcentral lists this ribosomal RNA (263 nucleotides) under Haemophilus sp. HMSC073C03. Its description in RNAcentral is "partial 23S ribosomal RNA". It matches the Rfam family "Bacterial large subunit ribosomal RNA", at positions 1 to 257 of the family's 2925-position model. Lineage: Bacteria; Pseudomonadati; Pseudomonadota; Gammaproteobacteria; Pasteurellales; Pasteurellaceae. The record is from RNAcentral.
GUUGUAUAGUUAAGUGACUAAGCGUACAAGGUGGAUGCCUUGGCAAUCAGAGGCGAAGAAGGACGUGCUAAUCUGCGAAAAGCUUGGAUGAGUCGAUAAGAGGCGUUUAAUCCAAGAUGUCCGAAUGGGGAAACCCAGUAGAUGAAGAAUCUACUAUCACUUACUGAAUCCAUAGGUAAGUGAGGCAAACCGGGAGAACUGAAACAUCUAAGUACCCCGAGGAAAAGAAAUCAACCGAGAUUUCGUUAGUAGCGGCGAGCGAA